RNAcentral lists this ribosomal RNA (424 nucleotides) under uncultured bacterium. Its description in RNAcentral is "bacterial SSU rRNA". It matches the Rfam family "Bacterial small subunit ribosomal RNA", at positions 381 to 793 of the family's 1533-position model. The record is from RNAcentral.
CCCUGAUGCAGCCAUGCCGCGUGUGUGAAGAAGGCCUUCGGGUUGUAAAGCACUUUCAGUAGGGAGGAAGGUAGUGCAGUUAAAACCUGCAUUAUUUGACGUUACCUACAGAAGAAGCACCGGCUAACUCCGUGCCAGCAGCCGCGGUAAUACGGAGGGUGCGAGCGUUAAUCGGAAUUACUGGGCGUAAAGCGCAUGCAGGCGGCCUGUUAAGUCAGAUGUGAAAGCCCGGGGCUUAACCUCGGAAUUGCAUUUGUAAACUAGGCAGGCUAGAGUCUUGUAGAGGGGGGUAGGAAUUUCAGGUGUAGCGGUGAAAUAGCGUAGAGAUCUGAAGGAAUACCAGUGGCGAAGGCGGCCCCCUGGACAAAGACUGACGCUCAGAUGCGAAAGCGUGGGGAGCAAACAGGAUUAGAUACCCUGGUAG